Molecule: non-coding RNA, 96 nt
Organism: Acanthosepion pharaonis
Lineage: Eukaryota; Metazoa; Mollusca; Cephalopoda; Sepiida; Sepiidae
Source: the annotation of a GenBank genome assembly
GAAACACCGGUUCUCGUACGAUCACCGAAGUUAAGCAACGCCGAACAUAGUCAAAACCUAGAUGGGUGACGAUUUGGGAAUAUCAGGUGCUGUAAU